GUGGCUCAGUGGGAGAGCACUUGCCUUGCAUGCAUGAGGCCCUGGGUUCAAGUACUCAGC
This 60-nucleotide transfer RNA is filed under the name Dipodomys ordii (Ord's kangaroo rat). It matches the Rfam family "tRNA", at positions 7 to 64 of the family's 71-position model. Rfam says of the family: Transfer RNA (tRNA) molecules are approximately 80 nucleotides in length. Their secondary structure includes four short double-helical elements and three loops (D, anti-codon, and T loops). Lineage: Eukaryota; Metazoa; Chordata; Mammalia; Rodentia; Heteromyidae. The record is from Rfam by way of RNAcentral.